This 357-nucleotide ribosomal RNA is filed under the name uncultured bacterium. RNAcentral describes it as "bacterial SSU rRNA". It matches the Rfam family "Bacterial small subunit ribosomal RNA", at positions 8 to 353 of the family's 1533-position model. The record is from RNAcentral.
AGAGUUUGAUCAUGGCUCAGGAUAGAACGCUAGCUACAGGCUUAACACAUGACAAGUCGGAGGGGAAACGACAUACGAAAGCUGUCUUUGUGGGCGUCGACCGGCGCACGGGUGAGUAACGCGUAUCCAACCUGCCCACCACUUGGGGAUAACCUUGCGAAAGUAAGACUAAUACCCAAUGAUAUCUCUAGAAGACAUCUGAAAGAGAUUAAAGAUUUAUCGGUGAUGGAUGGGGAUGCGUCUGAUUAGCUUGUUGGCGGGGUAACGGCCCACCAAGGCAACGAUCAGUAGGGGUUCUGAGAGGAAGGUCCCCACAUUGGAACUGAGACACGGUCCAAACUCCUACGGGAGGCAGCA